GUAUUGAUCGCGUGUGACCGCAAAAAUAAACAUUCUAGACUGUAUCAAGUUUUAUGUGAAAACGCGAGCCCUCCCGCAAAGGGGGACCCACGCGGUGAUGCACAAAAGGGGUGAGAUGGAUUGUGUGAGAACGCUCGGGCGUGCACAACCUUUGAAGGUCAGCGACAGCCCUUGCGCCUCGGUUGUACGAUAAUGAUCCUUCCGCAGGUUCACCUACGGAAA
RNAcentral lists this unclassified non-coding RNA (222 nucleotides) under uncultured fungus. RNAcentral describes it as "sequence contains ITS1". The record is from RNAcentral. Lineage: Eukaryota; Fungi.